CCCGAAGAGAGGCGACAGGAGGAUAAGGGAUGCCGAGAUGGUCUCCAUUCGCUUCCAGCCCCCCACCGCACCCCUCUCUACCCUCUGAUUUGCACCCGCGAUCAGGCUGCAGCACCAGCCCUCGAAACGUGGAGAGACACUUAUAAGGCUCCGCCGACCCAGGGCCAGCUACGGUGCGCUAUGUUCCAUGCCCAUGGAGUUGGGUUUCCCCUUGGCAGGGAUAUGUAUCAGCAAUUCACACGAAACGCGAUACCCGCGGCUCAGCCCUCCAAAGGCGAGAACAGGACUGUCCCGUGCCCACUAGAGGUCACCAUAAAGAGUCAUUCGCUCUGGUUCCUGUGUGGAUUCUUAGUGAAAAUUGGAAUGCUGCCUCUGACAAAAGUCUCUCUGGGUGGUUCUUAAAGAUGAAAAUCUCUGUGAGCUGUUUAUCCCCGAGACUUGGGUAAUUCAUUUUAAAAGCACUUAAUGGAUUAAAAAAAAAAUCUCAAAAACAAAAGAGUUGCUUAUCCGAUAACUACUGAACAAAGAAAGCAUCCCGAAGGAAGUGAAUCCAAGGCAGAAUGGAAGGAGGGCUGGCCAACAUGGGCUGCAUUCAUACUAAAACCAUGAAAAAAGCAGCUGCGAUCAUCAGUGAGAAGUGCCAUAUGAGCCCAGGCAAUGACUUCCACACCCCCAAGUGCGUGCACAAAGAGAUCGCCGUUAUUCCAGCAAUAAGCUCUGCAACAAGACAUCACGCUGUGUUAUGAUCUCAUGAAGUGAAUUCAGAGAGGUCCUGUGAGAGGAAUCUCCAUCAAGCCACAAGAAGAAGCCAGAGAGAGAAAAUUAUGUUGCUGAGGUCAGCCAUGGAUCAGGUCACUGAGAUAGAUCCUGACAAUAAGGAAAUGCUACAGCUUUUGGACUUUGGCAGUCUCUCCAAGCUACUCAGCCUACA
Molecule: long non-coding RNA, 931 nt
Organism: Jaculus jaculus (lesser Egyptian jerboa)
Lineage: Eukaryota; Metazoa; Chordata; Mammalia; Rodentia; Dipodidae
Exons: 4
Source: RefSeq, a predicted model, not a curated record